AACGAACGCUGGCGGCAUGCCUAACACAUGCAAGUCGAACGAGACCUUCGGGUCUAGUGGCGCACGGGUGCGCAACACGUGGGAAUUUGCCUCGGGGUAUGGAAUAACUCAGGGAAACUUGAGCUAAUACCAUAUAAUGUCUUCGGACCAAAGAUUUAUUGCCCUGAGAUAAGCCCGCGUAGGAUUAGCUAGUUGGUGAGGUAAAGGCUCACCAAGGCGACGAUCCUUAGCUGGUCUGAGAGGAUGAUCAGCCACACUGGGACUGAGACACGGCCCAGACUCCUACGGGAGGCAGCAGUGGGAAUAUUGGACAAUGGGCGAAAGCCUGAUCCAGCAAUGCCGCGUNAGUGAUGAAGCCUUCGGUUGUAAGUACUCUUUACUCGGUACGACUAAUAGACGGUACC
Molecule: ribosomal RNA, 404 nt
Filed under: uncultured bacterium
Lineage: Bacteria
Description: bacterial SSU rRNA
Rfam family: Bacterial small subunit ribosomal RNA
Source: RNAcentral